AUAUCCUUAAGUGUAGCACGCCUUAAUUCCUCGUACUGCAUGUCUUGUAGCUGACCUCCAAUGCUGUGGGAUUCAUCCCGUCGCUUGCCACCAAUUGUUAAGACACCUCUAGUGUCUUUAAGCCAAACCUCCGUUUAGUAGACCUUCCCCGGCUGCAGUACAGUCUCCGUUCGCUUACUCUGUAACACACGAACCAAAUGCAG
Non-coding RNA from Pelobates cultripes (western spadefoot toad), 203 nucleotides. The record is from the annotation of a GenBank genome assembly. NCBI's taxonomy places the organism in Eukaryota, Metazoa, Chordata, Amphibia, Anura, Pelobatidae.